RNAcentral lists this unclassified non-coding RNA (329 nucleotides) under soil metagenome. RNAcentral's name for it is "partial contains 5.8S ribosomal RNA, internal transcribed spacer 2, and large subunit ribosomal RNA". The stretch from base 1 to 120 matches the Rfam family "5.8S ribosomal RNA", at positions 35 to 154 of the family's 154-position model. The record is from RNAcentral.
GAUGAAGAACGUAGCGAAAUGCGAUAAGUAAUGUGAAUUGCAGAAUUCAGUGAAUCAUCGAAUCUUUGAACGCACAUUGCGCCCCUUGGUAUUCCGAGGGGCAUGCCUGUUCGAGCGUCAUUAUAACCCCUCAAGCUCAGCUUGGUGUUGGGGCCUGCUGCACUGGCAGCCCUUAAAAUCAGUGGCGGCGCCAUCUGGCUCUAAGCGUAGUAAUUCUUCUCGCUAUGGAGUCCUGGUGGAUGCUUGCCAUCAACCCCCAAUUUUUCUAGGGUUGACCUCGGAUCAGGUAGGGAUACCCGCUGAACUUAAGCAUAUCAAUAAGCGGAGGA